RNAcentral lists this non-coding RNA (109 nucleotides) under Clostridium carboxidivorans. RNAcentral describes it as "SAM-I sequence". It matches the Rfam family "SAM riboswitch aptamer (S box leader)". Rfam says of the family: The SAM riboswitch is found upstream of a number of genes which code for proteins involved in methionine or cysteine biosynthesis in Gram-positive bacteria. The record is from RNAcentral. Lineage: Bacteria; Bacillati; Bacillota; Clostridia; Eubacteriales; Clostridiaceae. RNAcentral also lists the same sequence under 1 other name.
ACCUUAUCAAGAGAAACUGAGGGACUGGCCCUAUGACGUUUCAGCAACCACAUGCAGCGAGCAUGUAAAGGUGCUAAUUCCAGCAGAACUUUGUUCUGGAAGAUGAGAG